UCGAGGGGUAUAGUAGCAAUACUAGAGACCGGCGCACGGGUGCGUAACGCGUAUGCAAUCUACCUUUUGCAGGGGAAUAGCCCAGAGAAAUUUGGAUUAAUGCCCCAUAGUAUAAUGUUUUGGCAUCGAGAUAUUAUUAAAGUCACAACGGCAAAAGAUGAGCAUGCGUCCCAUUAGCUAGUUGGUAAGGUAACGGCUUACCAAGGCUACGAUGGGUAGGGGUCCUGAGAGGGAGAUCCCCCACACUGGUACUGAGACACGGACCAGACUCCUACGGGAGGCAGCAGUGAGGAAUAUUGGACAAUGGGCGCAAGCCUGAUCCAGCCAUGCCGCGUGCAGGAUGAAGCAUCUAUGGUGUGUAAACUGCUUUUGUACGAGAAGAAACACUCCUACGUGUAGGAGCUUGACGGUAUCGUAAGAAUAAGGAUCGGCUAACUCCGUGCCAGCAGCCGCGGUAAUACGGAGGAUCCAAGCGUUAUCCGGAAUCAUUGGGUUUAAAGGGUCCGUAGGCGGCCUUAUAAGUCAGUGGUGAAAUCUCACGGCUCAACCGUGAAAUGGCCAUUGAUACUGUAGGGCUUGAAUUAUUAGGAAGUAACUAGAAUAUGUAGUGUAGCGGUGAAAUGCUUAGAGAUUACAUGGAAUACCAAUUGCGAAGGCAGGUUACUACUAAUGGAUUGACGCUGAUGGACGAAAGCGUGGGUAGCGAACAGGAUUAGAUACCCUGGUAGUUCACGCCGUAAACGAUGGAUACUAGCUGUUGGGGGCAACCUCAGUGGCUAAGCGAAAGUGAU
Molecule: ribosomal RNA, 791 nt
Filed under: uncultured Bacteroidota bacterium
Lineage: Bacteria; Pseudomonadati; Bacteroidota
Description: bacterial SSU rRNA
Rfam family: Bacterial small subunit ribosomal RNA
Source: RNAcentral